ACAAUGGAAUAUUACUCAGCUAUUAGAAAUGACAAAUACCCACCAUUUGCUUCAACGUGGAUGGAACUGGAGGGUAUUAUGCUGAGAUUUUUAUUUUAUUCUAUGGGUUUUAACUCAUUAGUAUCAUUAUUUUGAUGCAUCAGCUAUCUCAUAUUAAGCUAGUAGGAUCCUCUUCAAGCUUGUUCCUUUACACUUUUGACAUGUCCCCAUCAUUCUUUGAACCUACAUUUACACAAUGUAACUUAUCUUACAACAAGUUAUUAUAGGCUAAUUCAAUUCCUCCCUGCCCUAGCAUCAUAAUUGGUCAUAGCUCAAUGGAUUCUGAUUGUGAGGGUUUGUUUUAAUGGGGAUACAGUCUCAUAAUAGGAAUGAUUUCAAAGUGAGGGGAAAAUUGGCCAUAUAGGAAAGAGAAAGGAGAAUUACUGGAGUGAUGUUCUUGAGAAGGUGAGAGGAGAUGAAGUUUAGUUUCUAAAUAGAGGGUUUGGCCUUAGCAUAGUAGCCCAGACAGGUUGCCCCUAAUAGUAUGGGUGAAGGCAGAGAGUGUGGGCAUAAAUGAUAAUAGGUGAGUAGAUGUGGUAGUGGGAGCUUAUGGCAAUUCUUUUCUUGUUUCUUUUUUAUUUUCUCGAUGAAAUAGAAGCAUGGUCAUCAUCAGAGCAUGAAUUUGAGGGAGGGAGUAUGUGUUAAAAGUUUGAGGCGAGAGGAGAAGGUAUAAAUUAGUUUUCUAAGAGAAUGAUAAAAUAAAUGGUAGUAAGACUGCCAGGCAGCAUUAAAUACCUACUUCAAGUUAAUUGUCAGAAAGACUUUAUUGAGUUCGGUGCUUCUCUUUUUCUAAGCUUUGGUGUUUCUCAGGGGUUUGGUGAUUCCUGGUUUUCUGGUUCAGAUCCUGUUUGAGUUUUUGGGCAAACUUCAUUGCUGCUUAUGUUGCACAAAAGAGGUUUGGGUUGGGUAGAAUUGCCUGGUUGUUCCCCCUUUACCUUCCCAUUUAAUCAUCCAGAUGAAUUCCCCAAAGCCACUUCAUGUUUUAGUAUCCACUGUGAGUAGGUUUGGUGCUUCCCAAAUAAAUCCUAACUUUGUAGUAGUAUUCUCCACGUAUGUGUUUGAAGCUUUGGUUUCCAUAGAUUUUGUUUCCCUGUGGAUGUGAUCUAUUGUUUUCUGUUCCUUUGGAGAUUGCCCACUAUUUAUGAUCUGUGGAUGGCACUCUUCUAUUUUUCUGGGAUGUUAUGACUUUAUUCUAGUUUAAAAAAAAUCUUGGGGAGGUGGGGCAAGAUGUCGGAAGAGUAGGAUCCCCAAGUCACCUGUCCCCACCAACUUAUCUAGAUAACUUCCAAAUAAUCCCGAAAACCUAGUAAUUCGGCCUGAGAUUUAAAGAGAGAACAGCUGGAAUGCUGCAGUGAGAACAGUUUGUGCCUCUAACAAGGUAGGAAGAUGGAAAAAAAAAA
RNAcentral lists this long non-coding RNA (1439 nucleotides) under Canis lupus familiaris (dog). RNAcentral describes it as "lncRNA (ENSCAFG00845030009.1)". Lineage: Eukaryota; Metazoa; Chordata; Mammalia; Carnivora; Canidae. The record is from RNAcentral.